Molecule: non-coding RNA, 78 nt
Organism: Megalops atlanticus (tarpon)
Lineage: Eukaryota; Metazoa; Chordata; Actinopteri; Elopiformes; Megalopidae
Source: the annotation of a GenBank genome assembly
GGCAAUGUGGCGUAGUGGUAAUGGGUAGAGCUUGUAACCGAAAGGUUGCAGGUUCGAUUCCCCGCUGGGGCACUGCCG